UUCCGUAUGGAUCACCAUUGGAGGACUUGUACUUUGGAGUCUCAUGGAGAACACCAACAUGCCACUUCAUUCUUUUUGGUGGAAGUAAAAAUUUCAUCUCUUUUGCAUGCUUGUUUUAUUUUAUUGAUAUCGGCAAGGUGAUUCUAGGGUUUGGAUUCCGACUUGAUAGUUUUAUUUGAUAAAACUAUUGAUUUGUUUAUUUUUAAAAUUUUAAAAAUUAUUUUUUACUGUGUAGUUGGAACCCAAUAGCAACAUAUCAUCACUAUCCAAAAGAUGUAAAAUUUGAUAGAAAUAUCAAAUAUAUCCUUCAGUAGUAAGUUACUGUGCAAUUCAAUCCUUCGAUCAUCCCUGCAUUUCGAAUCUGUUCAUGAGUAUGGAAUUAUGUCAAACUCAACCACAUAUUCAUAUCGAUUUUUCAUCAACCAAUUAUGACUAAUAAUGAAGCAUUAGAAAAUCUUUGUAAUCUUCAUCCUGCUUUUGAUUAAAAGACUUUUUCUGAGUCAUCUAGAGAUGAGCAUUUACAGGAUACUAUCUCCUCUUACGAAGAGUGAUCAACUCAUAACCUUUAUAUACACUCUACCAUAUCUAGAAUAUCCCAUACAUGUCUUAAUGCCAUACUUGAAAAUGAAUCAAAAUAUGGGUUCAUGUGCAUAAGAUUCCAUAGUGAUCUCAGGUCUAAAGAUCACUUAUACAACUCUCACUUAGAGAACCAUCUUUUGAUAUACAAGUAAG
RNAcentral lists this long non-coding RNA (732 nucleotides) under Elaeis guineensis (African oil palm). RNAcentral describes it as "long non-coding RNA (EGUI_LNC058889)". Lineage: Eukaryota; Viridiplantae; Streptophyta; Magnoliopsida; Arecales; Arecaceae. The record is from RNAcentral.